GAGUAAAGCAUUUAACUCUUGAUAAUUACACACUUUCUGCAUAAUGCAAUUAGUGUCAACUCAUUCCAAAUUACUCUACUAGAAUAAUAAAACAUUUCAGCCAUUGUAUUGAUGGAGCUACUAAUCCAGAAUAUUCACAAUAAAUAUAGAGUUCAAGGCAAUUAAGAGAUGUACCUCUUAAAGCUAUGCAUAUUCUCUAUCUUUCUAAGACAAUCUUUAAUUCAUAUAGUUCCACCCCCUUUGAAUUCACAAACCAAGACUUUACAAACAAAGGCCUUAUAUCAUUAAUCUUAAUACCUUUUUACCAAAAAAUCACUAUAUUCAUAAAUAAAAAUCACAAGUUAACGUUUUAACCUCGUGUUGGGUCAUUAAUCUUAAUACCUUUUUACCAAAAAAUCACUAUAUUCAUAAAUAAAAAUCACAAGUUAACGCUUUAACCUCAUGUUGGGCUGUCUUAGUUUUCACAUGGCAGAGGAAUCUACGAUAAUGUGUAUGUUUUCCUAAGAAGAAAAAGGAACAAAAAAUAGGGAAAGGAAGCCAAGACUAAGAAAUAAUUAUUCAAUAAGCUGAAAAAUUAUCAUAUAUCAUGCAUGUUUUACACAAUCCCCUUAUAAAGUUAAAAAAAAAAACUACUUUAUUUUACACAAUCAAACGAUUUUAAAUAUUUGACCAGGAAACAUAACUUAGUAGGACAAGAAUGCAGCUAAAUUAUGAAAACCAUUUUGCUUGCAGAUAUUAAUUAGACAUUUCAGUUUUUCUUUUAUUUUUCACAAUUUAUCAGAAAUUAAACACACAUUCGUUCGGCAUUUUCACAUAAGCCAACCAAACCCUAACCUCUGGAAAAUUUGGUCACCUUUUAGCUUCAAGUUCAAAUAAUAAAUAACAUACAAAGUUCAAAAUACAAAAGUUAUCCAUCCUCUGCUUCAACCAAAAAUUCCUCCACUAAUUCGCUCCAGGAAACAUUAUUUGAAAAUAUAAAAUGAAAACCAAAAUUGCACAUUCAAAUGCAAAUAAUUUAAUGACAAAAAAAAUGUGCAAAUAUGGUAAAUGAAAGGAAAUAUCUGAAAAAGGAGACUCCAUCACAGAUCUACGAAACGAAACUCCAAAACAAUAUCGGCAUUGUCUCGUCAAAGUCUGUGACUCUCAUCGAUCCAUAUAACACAACGAAACAACAAAAUUUAACACGGGAAAAAAAAAGGGAAUGUAUAAGCAAAUAUCCGAGAGAAUAGAAGAAAACCGAGCUUACUGAGUUACUUGGAGCUCCAAGACUUUUCGAAGAUCGAAUUAGCAGAAGAAAACAAAACUUCAGCUAACAAGAAAUCUCGAGAAGUCGAAGCGAGAGGGGUGGUGUGCACUCGAGUAGGGUGAGCAAAAUGUGGAGAUCUAAAGCGGGUCUUGUGAGCUUGUGGCAUAGCGGCGUGGUGGAUGUUUUGCAUAAUGUAGAUCGUUAGGGUUUCGUAUGGUAUGGGUCUUAGAAUUUGAGCAGUGGUGUUAGGAUUUCUUAUGGCAUGGACCCUUGAAUUUUAGGGCUCGAAGUUUUAGAGGUAUGAAGAAGAAGAAUGAUAUCGCCAGAGAGAUGAGGCGGCUGGCCAUGGAUUUAGGAGUUAGGGAAUUUUAUGUUUA
RNAcentral lists this long non-coding RNA (1623 nucleotides) under Citrus sinensis (sweet orange). RNAcentral's name for it is "long non-coding RNA (CSIN_LNC001980)". The record is from RNAcentral. Lineage: Eukaryota; Viridiplantae; Streptophyta; Magnoliopsida; Sapindales; Rutaceae.